CCUACGGGAGGCAGCAGUGGGGAAUAUUGCACAAUGGGGGAAACCCUGAUGCAGCAACGCCGCGUGAGUGAUGACGGCCUUCGGGUUGUAAAGCUCUGUCUUCAGGGACGAUAAUGCCGGUUCCUGAGGAGGAAGCCAUGGCUAACUACGUGCCAGCAGCCGCGGUCAUACGUAGGUGGCGAGGGUUGUCCGGAUUGACUGGGCGUAAAGGGAGCGUAGGUGGCAUUUUAAGUGAGAGGUGAAAUACUCGGGCUGAACUUGAGGUCUGCAUUUGAAACUGGAAGUCUAGAGUGCAGGAGAGGAGAAUGGAAUUCCAAGUGUAGCGGUGAAAUGCGUAGAGAUUAGGAAGAACACCAGUGGCGAAGGCGAUUCUCUGGACUGUAACUGACGCUGAGGCUCGAAAGCGUGGGUAGCAAACAGGAUUAGAUACCCGGGUAGUC
Molecule: ribosomal RNA, 440 nt
Filed under: uncultured bacterium
Lineage: Bacteria
Description: partial 16S ribosomal RNA
Rfam family: Bacterial small subunit ribosomal RNA
Source: RNAcentral